This 72-nucleotide transfer RNA is filed under the name Termitomyces sp. J132. It matches the Rfam family "tRNA". From Rfam's summary of the family: Transfer RNA (tRNA) molecules are approximately 80 nucleotides in length. Their secondary structure includes four short double-helical elements and three loops (D, anti-codon, and T loops). Further hydrogen bonds mediate the characteristic L-shaped molecular structure. tRNAs have two regions of fundamental functional importance: the anti-codon, which is responsible for specific mRNA codon recognition, and the 3' end, to which the tRNAs corresponding amino acid is attached (by aminoacyl-tRNA synthetases). tRNAs cope with the degeneracy of the genetic code in two manners: having more than one tRNA (with a specific anti-codon) for a particular amino acid; and 'wobble' base-pairing, i.e. permitting non-standard base-pairing at the 3rd anti-codon position. The record is from Rfam by way of RNAcentral. Lineage: Eukaryota; Fungi; Basidiomycota; Agaricomycetes; Agaricales; Lyophyllaceae.
GAGUGCUUAGCUUGAUAGGAAAGUACUUAAUUGUUAAUUAUAGUAGUUUUAGUUUAAAUCUAAAAGGGCUCA